Molecule: ribosomal RNA, 572 nt
Filed under: uncultured Paludibacter sp.
Lineage: Bacteria; Pseudomonadati; Bacteroidota; Bacteroidia; Bacteroidales; Paludibacteraceae
Description: bacterial SSU rRNA
Rfam family: Bacterial small subunit ribosomal RNA
Source: RNAcentral
GGGUCAAUUGAGACCUGAGUAACCAAGGGAAACCGAUAAGCAUUCCACCUGGGGAGUACGGUCGCAAGACUGAAACUCAAAGGAAUUGACGGGGGCCCGCACAAGCGGAGGAACAUGUGGUUUAAUUCGAUGAUACGCGAGGAACCUUACCCGGGCUUGAAAGUUAGUGACCGUUUUAGAGAUAGAAUUUCGCAGCAAUGCGCACGAAACUAGGUGCUGCAUGGUUGUCGUCAGCUCGUGCCGUGAGGUGUCGGCUUAAGUGCCACAACGAGCGCAACCCUUACCGCCGGUUGCCAGCGGGUAAUGCCGGGGACUUCGAUGGGACUGCCACCGUAAGGUGUGAGGAAGGUGGGGAUGACGUCAAAUCAGCACGGCCCUUACGUCCGGGGCGACACACGUGUUACAAUGGUCGGUACAGAGGGCUGCUACUAGGCGACUAGAUGCUAAUCUCGAAAGCCGAUCUCAGUUCGGAUCGGAGUCUGCAACUCGACUCCGUGAAGUUGGAUUCGCUAGUAAUCGCAUAUCAGCCAUGAUGCGGUGAAUACGUUCCCGGGCCUUGUACACACCGCCCG